RNAcentral lists this unclassified non-coding RNA (287 nucleotides) under uncultured fungus. RNAcentral describes it as "sequence contains ITS2". Lineage: Eukaryota; Fungi. The record is from RNAcentral.
AACGCACCUUGCGCUCCCAGGUUAUUCCUGGGAGCAUGUUCGUUGGAGUGUCGCCUAUCUUUCUCAAUCCCGCCCUUUUCACGAGAGGCCGCCAGGGUUGGAUCGUGGCGCUUUGCCUCUGCAAAGAGGCUGCGCUGAAUUGCAACAAGCUGUACCUUUGUACUUGGCGGCUUGACCCGUUGUCAUAAGCUCACACUUUCAACGGGGACGCCAGUCGGGAUGGGCUUACCAGAAACGCUGAUACCUACUAUGACCUCCAAUCGAGCAGGACUACCCCCUGAACUUAA